Molecule: ribosomal RNA, 990 nt
Filed under: Pristionchus pacificus
Lineage: Eukaryota; Metazoa; Nematoda; Chromadorea; Rhabditida; Neodiplogasteridae
Description: eukaryotic LSU rRNA
Rfam family: Eukaryotic large subunit ribosomal RNA
Source: RNAcentral
GAAAAGCCCAGCGUGUAAUCGCUCAGGUCAUACCUGUAGCGAGGUGUCACGUAUAGGCGCGUCUGUCUGGUUUUCGUUGAGGUUCGAAGUUUUCUCGAAUGAAACUUCCCGCAGUGGGUGCUAGGCCCGUACGGACUUCGACUUGGCCAGUUGGGCGUGUCUUGGAGUAGAGUUGCUUGGAAGUGCAGCUCAAAGUGGGUGGUAUACCACAUCUAAGGCUAAAUAUGACCGAGACUUCGAUAGCGAACAAGUACCGUGAGGGAAAGUUGCAAAGAACUUUGAAGAGAGAGUUCAAGAGAAUGUGAAACCACGUGGGGCUAAGCGGAUAGAGUUGACGAAACUGGCAGUGUUCAGUGCUCGUGAUCGGGUUCGCUCGUGAUCGGGUGCGCAUUCAUUGUCGGUACGUGCUGGGACGUUCGGUGAGCCCUUCUGAAGGCUUCAGAGUCACCCAAGCUUGCUUGGUAGUGUUCUGUCGUCGGAAGUUGAUGUGCUCGCUGAUCGUAGCGGUGGCCGUGCCUCUGCGCGUUCGUUCGUUAGUUGGUGUGCUGCUUGGUAGUCGGACAUGUCUGGCUGCCUCGUACGUGUGCUGAUUAGCGGGCGCUCGCCUAUGGCCCACUCCCGGUAUGCGAAAGUCGACCACCUAUCCGACCCGUCUUGAAACACGGACCAAGAAGUCUAGUAUGUACGCGAGUCAUUGGGUAUUAAACCUAUUGGCGCAAUAAAUGUGAAGGGCGGCUUGUUCGUCUGAUAUGUGAUCCGUCGGUCUCGGCCAGCGGCGCAACAUAGUCCCAUGCCUACUGCUUGCAGUGGUGUGGAGAUGGAGCGUACACACUAGGACCCGAAAGAUGGUGAACUAUGCCUGAGCAGGACGAAGUCAGAGGAAACUCUGAUGGAAGUCCGAAGCGGUUCUGACGUGCAAAUCGAUCGUCGGACUCGGGUAUAGGGGCGAAAGACUAAUCGAACCAUCUAGUAGCUGGUUCACACCGAAUU